CGGUGAAUACGUUCCCGGACCUUGCACACACCGCCCGUCAAGCCAUGGAAGCCGGGUGUACCUAAAGUCGGUAACUGUAAGGAGCCGCCUAGGGUAAAACUGGUGACUGGGGCU
This 114-nucleotide ribosomal RNA is filed under the name uncultured bacterium. Its description in RNAcentral is "partial 16S ribosomal RNA". It matches the Rfam family "Bacterial small subunit ribosomal RNA", at positions 1360 to 1482 of the family's 1533-position model. The record is from RNAcentral.